Molecule: ribosomal RNA, 253 nt
Filed under: uncultured bacterium
Lineage: Bacteria
Description: partial 16S ribosomal RNA
Rfam family: Bacterial small subunit ribosomal RNA
Source: RNAcentral
UACGGAGGAUGCAAGCGUUAUCCGGAAUUAUUGGGCGUAAAGCGUCCGCAGGUGGCAAUUCAAGUCUGCUGUCAAAGGUUCUGGCUCAACCAGAAACAGGCAGUGGAAACUGAACAGCUAGAGUGCGGUAGGGGCAGAGGGAAUUCCCAGUGUAGCGGUGAAAUGCGUAGAGAUUGGGAAGAACACCGGUGGCGAAAGCGCUCUGCUAGACCGUAACUGACGCUGAUGCACGAAAGCUAGGGGAGCAAACAGG